RNAcentral lists this microRNA precursor (84 nucleotides) under Drosophila guanche. Lineage: Eukaryota; Metazoa; Arthropoda; Insecta; Diptera; Drosophilidae. The record is from RNAcentral.
CACUUAUUUGGCUUUAAUUAUUGCUCGAAAGCCAACUAGCUAAGUAUUAGGGCUUUCUGAGCAACAAUCAAAAUUAUAUAAGUG